Molecule: long non-coding RNA, 557 nt
Filed under: Homo sapiens (human)
Lineage: Eukaryota; Metazoa; Chordata; Mammalia; Primates; Hominidae
Source: RNAcentral
GGAUGGGUGAGGAGCAUGGGAUUAAGUAGGGACCUCUGUCCUAGUAUUAUUUUCUCUGUUGAAUUCAUCCUACCAGUUGCUGAGCUCUUUAUUUGCACACAUCAGCCUUUUAGGAAGGAUCUCCAGGAAUCCUGUGGGGAGAGGCUGGUGCUGGGGGAAGACAGAGGAAUGCCUGGAGAGGACAGAAGUGAGCAUAGGGCUUCUCCUAUUUUAUCUUGGCUGUUCUAAGAAUGUCUGGAAUGGGGCCGGGCGCGGUGGCUUACGCCUGUAAUCCCAGCACUUUGGGAGGCCGAGACUACACCUGUUGGUCUGGAUUGCAGCUGGAAUUGGAAGGGAAAUGCAUUUCCAUUGAAGGAAGAAGUGUAACAGUGAGCAGGCAGGUGUCAGCGGAUCUCAAGAGAAUAAUGUCAACUGGACAAUGGCUUAGAGGCAGGAGGAGGCAGAUCAGCUAGGCAGAUGUGCAGAAGUUAAGUGUGGUUUCAUGCAGAAACUUCCAAAUGGAUUCAAGAGCCAAAGCCUUCAAGAAGUUGGUGUCAUUGUCACUUGGAAUAUGUUUG